Molecule: ribosomal RNA, 252 nt
Filed under: uncultured bacterium
Lineage: Bacteria
Description: partial 16S ribosomal RNA
Rfam family: Bacterial small subunit ribosomal RNA
Source: RNAcentral
UACGUAGGGGGCAAGCGUUAUCCGGAAUCAUUGGGCGUAAAGCGUGCGUAGGUGGUUCGUUAAGUCCGUUGUGAAAGCCCCGAGCUCAACUUGGGAAUUGCAGUGGAUACUGGCGAGCUGGAGUGCGGUAGAGGAAGGUGGAAUUUCCGGUGUAGCGGUGAAAUGCGUAGAUAUCGGAAGGAACACCAGUGGCGAAAGCGGCUUCCUGGUCCAGCACCGACGUCAGGCACGAAAGCGUGGGGAGCAAACAGG